Molecule: ribosomal RNA, 449 nt
Filed under: uncultured bacterium
Lineage: Bacteria
Description: partial 16S ribosomal RNA
Rfam family: Bacterial small subunit ribosomal RNA
Source: RNAcentral
AAUGAACGCUGGCGGCAGGCCUAACACAUGCAAGUCGAACGGAUCCUUCGGGAUUAGUGGCGGACGGGUGAGUAACACGUGGGAACGUGCCCUUUGGUUCGGAACAACUCAGGGAAACUUGAGCUAAUACCGGAUGUGCCCUUCGGGGGAAAGAUUUAUCGCCAUUGGAGCGGCCCGCGUCUGAUUAGCUAGUUGGUGAGGUAAAGGCUCACCAAGGCGACGAUCAGUAGCUGGUCUGAGAGGAUGAUCAGCCACAUUGGGACUGAGACACGGCCCAAACUCCUACGGGAGGCAGCAGUGGGGAAUCUUGCGCAAUGGGCGAAAGCCUGACGCAGCCAUGCCGCGUGAAUGAUGAAGGUCUUAGGAUUGUAAAAUUCUUUCACCGGGGACGAUAAUGACGGUACCCGGAGAAGAAGCCCCGGCUAACUUCGUGCCAGCCGCCGCCGUAA